This 98-nucleotide microRNA precursor is filed under the name Equus caballus (horse). RNAcentral's name for it is "mir-544 microRNA precursor family". It matches the Rfam family "mir-544 microRNA precursor family". The record is from Rfam by way of RNAcentral. Lineage: Eukaryota; Metazoa; Chordata; Mammalia; Perissodactyla; Equidae.
GCCACCUGGGGAUCUUGUUAAAAUGCAGGUUCUGAUUCAGUAGAUCUGUGAUGGGGUCUGAGAUUCUGCAUUUCUAGCAAGUUCACAGCUGAGGCCAA